AAGCGGCAAGAGCUCAAAUUUGAAAUCUGGCACCUUUGGUGUCCGAGUUGUAAUUUGAAGAUUGUAUUUUUGGAAGACUUCUCGCAUAAGUUCCUUGGAAUAGGACGUCAUAGAGGGUGAGAAUCCCGUAUGGUGUGAAUCGUCUUCCUCUGUAAAAUACUUUCGAAGAGUCGAGUUGUUUGGGAAUGCAGCUCUAAGUGGGUGGUAAAUUCCAUCUAAAGCUAAAUAUUGGCGAGAGACCGAUAGCGAACAAGUACAGUGAUGGAAAGAUGAAAAGAACUUUGAAAAGAGAGUGAAAAAGUACGUGAAAUUGUUGAAAAGGAAGGGCUUGAGAUCAGACUUGGCGUAUUGUGAUCAGCUUCCUCUCGGGGUUGUGCACUCGCAGUACGCUGGGCCAGUAUCGAUUUUGGCGGUGAGAUAAUGGCAUUGGAAUGUGGCUCUUCGGAGUGUUAUAGCCUUUGUUGAUAUCACCAGCCGGGAUCGAGGACCGCGCUUUUAGCUAGGAUACUGGCGUAAUGAUCUUAAGCCACCCGUCUUGAAACACGGACCAAGGAGUCUAACGUUUAUGCGAGUGUUUGGGUGUAAAACCCGUACGCGUAAUGAAAGUGAACGUAGGUGAGAGCCCUCACGGGUGCAUCAUCGACCGAUCCUGAUGUUUUCAGAUGGAUUUGAGUAUGAGCAUAAAUAUUGGGACCCGAAAGAUGGUGAACUAUGCCUGAAUAGAGUGAAGCCAGAGGAAACUCUGGUGGAGGCUCGUAGCGGUUCUGACGUGCAAAUCGAUCGUCAAAUUUGGGUAUAGGGGCGAAAGACUAAUCGAACCAUCUAGUAGCUGGUUCCUGCCGAAGUUUCCCUCAGGAUAGCAGAAGCUCGUAUCAGUUUUAUGAGGUAAAGCGAAUGAUUAGAAGUAUUGGGGUUGAAACGACCUUAACUUAUUCUCAAACUUUAAAUAUGUAAGAAGUCCUUGUUACUUAAUUGAACGUGGACAUUUGAAUGGAGAGCUUUUAGUGGGCCAUAUUUGGUAAGCAGAUCUGGCGAUGAGGGAUGCUCCUAACGUGAGGUUAAAGUGCCGAAAUGUACGCUCAUCAGAUCCCAAAAAAGGUGUUAGUUCAUCUAGACAGCCGGACGGUGGCCAUGGAAGUCGGAAUCCGCUAAGGAGUGUGUAACAACUCACCGGCCGAAUGAACUAGCCCUGAAAAUGGAUGGCGCUAAGCGUAUUACUUAUACCUCACCGCUACGGUUGUAUUGAUGCUGUAGCGUGUAGGCAGGCG
Molecule: ribosomal RNA, 1268 nt
Filed under: Sugiyamaella valenteae
Lineage: Eukaryota; Fungi; Ascomycota; Dipodascomycetes; Dipodascales; Trichomonascaceae
Description: LSU rRNA
Rfam family: Eukaryotic large subunit ribosomal RNA
Source: RNAcentral